Long non-coding RNA from Canis lupus familiaris (dog), 664 nucleotides. RefSeq lists it as uncharacterized. The record is from RefSeq and is a predicted model, not a curated record. Lineage: Eukaryota; Metazoa; Chordata; Mammalia; Carnivora; Canidae. The transcript has 2 exons.
AAAUACUUUUUUUAUUGGAAUACUUUUUAUUUCUGAAAGUAGUAUUGUAGUAGGGUAUUAAGGCGUCAAGAACAGAAUUAUUUAAUGGAAACAAAGAGGGAGUGAAGCUACCCAAGCUUUGUUCCUCUACUUAGAAGUUCUAUCGAUAUGUAGGGGAUGAGGAGUGGCAUGGAGGUAACAGAAAAGAGAAAAAAUGGCCAUGUGACCAACCUUGUAUGUUUUGUAGAUCUAUUGAUUGCUCUCAUGAAGAAGGCUGCCCUACCACCCAAGUCUCUGGGUUUCUGCCAAAACAAGAUUUGGCAAGAGGCUUUUACUUGGUAUAGAGAAGAGGUUCCUCUGGGUCAGCUCCGAAAUCUGACACCCAGAUGGUCCUGAGUUAAGAAUCUUAAGCAUGUUAACCACACCACACAUCAAAGAAACAAUUAUUCAGUAUUACAGGGCUCCUUCCCACUGACUCAGCAAGCUAAUUAUCCUCACCUAUCUCAGGAUCCAGCUACUACCAGGUUGAAGGCACAGGAAUUAAAGAGGAAAGCAUCUAAAAAGUUGACCACCAAUGAUUUCACUACCUGGAAAUACGCCAUGUGAAAAGAUUUCAAAUGUCACAAGCUUCCUGAUUUCAAUAGAUAAUAACUUGAAUGAUUUUGAAUAAAGUUAUGUUUCCUAA